UUCAGAUAGGAAAACAGAAACUACUCUAGACUUUUCAGUGGGAGAAAGUUAAUAUCAGGACCGAAACACAGGGUAAUGAAAAGCCAAAGAGACCAACAAGGAGCGAUGAGGCAGCCUGAAGAUGAAGGGUUGCAGACGUUGCUGCCACUCCUAGGACUGGAGUCACGGUGGGAGGUGGCUGGCUUUCGGAUCCCAGAGGCUGGGCUGAACAGGACUGAAGGCUGUGUUCCAUCUCCUCAUGGGCUCCCGCCAGGCACCCCUGAGAGCGCAGGAGGGGAAAGGCUUUCUUCUUGAUCCUAUUACUCCUGCCCAGCACCAGGCAGGAUUAAUUAACCCACCAGGUUUUGCUUCAUUACCAGGAAGAAAGAAGAGCCAGCGACAGCGGAUUCAAACAUGGAGAAGGCAAAGAAUUCGGUGCUCGCGGGCCCUAGAGCCCUUCUAGGACAGCCGGCCUGGCAAGAGGGUGACCCGGUGCCAGUACAAACCCUCAAGCGCCCUUGUGUGUCAUCCUCAGAAUUCGCACUUGGAGUCCACAAAACCCGACACAGACUUUGAGCUGAGCCCCACGGGGGCCAAUGACAAACUGUCUGCUUCUUCCAGGCUCUGUGUCUCGGCGGAACUGGGAGUGUGAUCGUACCUACCCUCCAGGGUUGUCGUGAGAAUUAAUUAAAUGUGGUACCGUGUGUGAAAGUU
This is a long non-coding RNA of Phacochoerus africanus (Common warthog), 693 nucleotides long. RefSeq lists it as uncharacterized. Lineage: Eukaryota; Metazoa; Chordata; Mammalia; Artiodactyla; Suidae. The transcript has 2 exons. The record is from RefSeq and is a predicted model, not a curated record.